GGUGACUAUAGCGCGGGGGAACCACCUCUUCCCAUUCCGAACAGAGAAGUUAAGCCCCGCAGCGCCGAUGGUACUGCCCUCGUGGUGGGAGAGUAGGUCGUUGCC
This 105-nucleotide ribosomal RNA is filed under the name Rhodothermaceae bacterium. The record is from RNAcentral. Lineage: Bacteria; Pseudomonadati; Rhodothermota; Rhodothermia; Rhodothermales; Rhodothermaceae.